RNAcentral lists this signal recognition particle RNA (99 nucleotides) under Verrucomicrobiota bacterium. Its description in RNAcentral is "Verrucomicrobia bacterium (activated sludge metagenome) signal recognition particle sRNA small type". It matches the Rfam family "Bacterial small signal recognition particle RNA". Rfam says of the family: The signal recognition particle (SRP) is a universally conserved ribonucleoprotein involved in the co-translational targeting of proteins to membranes. Archaeal SRP consists of a 7S RNA and homologues of the eukaryotic SRP19 and SRP54 proteins. In most bacteria, the SRP consists of a 4.5S RNA and the Ffh protein (a homologue of the eukaryotic SRP54 protein). The record is from RNAcentral. Lineage: Bacteria; Pseudomonadati; Verrucomicrobiota.
GCUGGGGACCUUAUGAAAUGAGGCAGUUCGAACCAGGUCAGGACCGGAAGGUAGCAGCCUUAAGAGCGCCGCUUUAUGUUAUGAGUCAUCUCCAGCUUU